GGCCCCUCUUUGGAUUUCCAGAGCUCUGUAUCUCGGAGGUUCUCCUCUUGGAUAUUCUGUCCUGUGAACUACAGCCUCCUUGGACUCCAAGGUCUCCCAGCUCCAACUUCUCUGCUCAGGAAGAUCACAAUGCUCCACCUGCAUUCCCCAUUUCCAAACCCUCCACUGUGGUUUGGAAAUUCUACCAGGUAGCACGAUGGGGCAGGUGCGGAAACAGAGGCACAAAGAAAUAACCUUCAUUUCAGGAAGAACAACCAGUGGACUGUUUUUAGUGCCAGAGUCAAGACGACGUCUUCUGAUUCCACCUGAUACUUAUUCCAUAUACAAAUAGCAAGAACAAUGUCUUAAUACUUUUGAUUCUCUUACCCAGCAAAGGGUCCUUAGUAGACGUGAGCAAGAACAUGUCUAUUUCAAUAAACAAACAAGUAAACAAAUAAAAUCUAUCAUGUUAUGAAACAAUAAAAGAGCUUGGUGGAUAUAGAAUGGGGAAAAGAGAAUUAGUUUUGAGUCAAAAUAUCUGGAUAUGAGUCUUUGUUAUGCAGUUAAAUCAUUCACCAAAUAUCAUUGAGAGCUCGAUUCUGUCAGGCUCUCUGACACAUAAAAAAAAAAAAAUAGAGAACUAUGGGCCAGGCACCGUGGCUCACGCCUGUAAUCCUAGCACUUUAGGAGGCUGAGGCAGGUGGAUUACCUGAGAUCAGGAGUUCAAGACCAGCCUGGCCAACAUAGUGAAACCCCAUCUCUACUAAAAAUACAAAAAAUCAGCCAGGUGCAGUGGCGCACGCCUGUAAUCCCAGCUACUCAGGAGGCUGAGGAAGGAGAAUCGCUUGAACCUGGGAGGCGGAGGUUGCCGUGAGCCGAGAUCAGGCCACUGCACUCCAGCCUGGGCAACUGAAGGAGGCUUUGUCUCAAAAAUAAAUAAAUAAAUAAAUAAAUAAAUAAAUAAAUAAAUAAAUAAAUAAAAAUAAAUAGAGAACUAUGAAUAUUUGGGGUUUUAAUUGUCAUUGCUGUUGUUUUAUAAAAGUUACUUUCUUUGAUGCCAGGUUAGUUCAGAGUGCUUAUCAAUCUCCUUUCUCAAUUCAUUUUAAGUGAGAAAAAAUCCUGACCAUUUUGAAUUAACAUAUUCUAUUGUCUUCUGAUAACUAAUAGUUAUUCAACGUAAUGAAAAGAGCUGCUUUUGUUUCAUAAUAUCAAUUGUGUGAAACUUAGUAAAAAAUAUUCUCUUCCUAUUUUUCAUGAAAGAUAGUUCCAGUAAUUGUUUCUAGAUCUUUAAUUGGUUUGGAAGAGAUAAGUAAAAUUAACCUUUCAAUACUUUGUAGAAAGUAGGACUCCAGAAGUUUAGAUUUCUACUAAUUAUAAAACAACUGCAACUCUGCUACUCCACAAACACAUCAAUAACAAGUUUUUAAUACCAAUUCACUGUAUCUCUGUUUUGGGAAAUUAUAUUUAAAAAUAAAGAAAACCUAUUUAAAG
Molecule: long non-coding RNA, 1470 nt
Filed under: Homo sapiens (human)
Lineage: Eukaryota; Metazoa; Chordata; Mammalia; Primates; Hominidae
Description: HSALNT0203474
Source: RNAcentral